CCUACGGGGGGCAGCAGUGAGGAAUAUUGGUCAAUGGCCGAGAGGCUGAACCAGCCAAGUCGCGUGAGGGAUGAAGGUACAGAGUAUCGUAAACCUCUUUUGUCAGGGAACAAAGGCGGGGACGUGUCCCCGGAUGAGUGUACCUGAAGAAAAAGCAUCGGCUAACUCCGUGCCAGCAGCCGCGGUAAUACGGAGGAUGCGAGCGUUAUCCGGAUUUAGUGGGUUUAAAGGGUGCGCAGGCGGUCUGUUAAGUCAGCGGUCAAAGCCCGGGGCUCAACCCCGGCCCGCCGUUGAAACUGGCAGUCUCGAGUUGGAGAGAAGUAUGCGGAAUGCGCGGUGUAGCGGUGAAAUGCAUAGAUAUCGCGCAGAACUCCGAUUGCGAAGGCAGCAUGCCGGCUCCACACUGACGCUGAGGCACGAAAGCGUGGGUAUCGAACAGGAUUAGAUACCCUUGUAGUC
This 459-nucleotide ribosomal RNA is filed under the name uncultured bacterium. Its description in RNAcentral is "partial 16S ribosomal RNA". It matches the Rfam family "Bacterial small subunit ribosomal RNA", at positions 338 to 795 of the family's 1533-position model. The record is from RNAcentral.